Molecule: ribosomal RNA, 271 nt
Filed under: uncultured bacterium
Lineage: Bacteria
Description: partial 16S ribosomal RNA
Rfam family: Bacterial small subunit ribosomal RNA
Source: RNAcentral
UACCUAGGGGCGCAGCAGUAGGGAAUCUUCGGCAAUGGGCGAAAGCUUGACCGAGCAACGCCGCGUGAAUGAAGAAGGCCUUCGGGUUGUAAAAUUCCGUUAUAAGGGAAGAAAGGUGAUAGGAGGAAAUGACUAUCAAUUGACGGUACCUUAUGAGAAAACCACGGCUAACUACGUGCCAGCAGCCGCGGUAAUACGUAGGUGGCAAGCGUUAUCCGGAAUUAUUGUGCGUAAAGAGCGCGCAGGUGGUUAAUUAAGUCUGAUGUGAAAG